RNAcentral lists this unclassified non-coding RNA (337 nucleotides) under soil metagenome. RNAcentral's name for it is "partial contains 5.8S ribosomal RNA, internal transcribed spacer 2, and large subunit ribosomal RNA". The stretch from base 1 to 120 matches the Rfam family "5.8S ribosomal RNA", at positions 35 to 154 of the family's 154-position model. The record is from RNAcentral.
GAUGAAGAACGUAGCGAAAUGCGAUAAGUAGUGUGAAUUGCAGAAUUCAGUGAAUCAUCGAAUCUUUGAACGCACAUUGCGCCCCUUGGUAUUCCAUGGGGCAUGCCUGUUCGAGCGUCAUUUGUACCUUCAAGCUCUGCUUGGUGUUGGGUGUUUGUCUCGCCUCUGCGUGUAGACUCGCCUCAAAACAAUUGGCAGCCGGCGUAUUGAUUUCGGAGCGCAGUACAUCUCGCGCUUUGCACUCAUAACGACGACGUCCAAAAGUACAUUUUUACAAUCUUGACCUCGGAUCAGGUGGGGAUACCCGCUGAACUUAAGCAUAUCAAUAAGCGGAGGA